UACGUAGGGGGCAAGCGUUGUCCGGAAUCAUUGGGCGUAAAGAGCGUGUAGGCGGCCAGAAAAGUCCGCUGUGAAAACUCGAGGCUCAACUUCGAGCUGUCGGUGGAAACUUUCUGGCUAGAGUCCGGAAGAGGAGAAUGGAAUUCCUGGUGUAGCGGUGAAAUGCGCAGAUAUCAGGAGGAACACCGGUGGCGAAGGCGGUUCUCUGGGCAUUACCUGACGCUGAGGAGCGAAAGCGUGGGGAGCAAACAGG
This 253-nucleotide ribosomal RNA is filed under the name uncultured bacterium. RNAcentral describes it as "partial 16S ribosomal RNA". It matches the Rfam family "Bacterial small subunit ribosomal RNA", at positions 524 to 776 of the family's 1533-position model. The record is from RNAcentral.